UACGGAGGGUGCAAGCGUUAUCCGGAUUCACUGGGUUUAAAGGGUGCGUAGGUGGGUUGGUAAGUCAGUGGUGAAAUCUCCGAGCUUAACUUGGAAACUGCCAUUGAUACUAUCAGUCUUGAAUAUUGUGGAGGUCAGCGGAAUAUGUCAUGUAGCGGUGAAAUGCUUAGAUAUGACAUAGAACACCAAUUGCGAAGGCAGCUGGCUACGCAUAUAUUGACACUGAGGCACGAGAGCGUGGGGAUCAAACAGG
RNAcentral lists this ribosomal RNA (253 nucleotides) under uncultured bacterium. Its description in RNAcentral is "partial 16S ribosomal RNA". It matches the Rfam family "Bacterial small subunit ribosomal RNA", at positions 524 to 776 of the family's 1533-position model. The record is from RNAcentral.